AAAGAUUAAGCCAUGCAUGUCUCAGUGCAAGCCGAAAUAAGGUGAAACCGCGAAAGGCUCAUUAAAUCAGCUAUGGUUCCUUAGAUGGUACGUACGGUUACUUGGAUAACUGUGGCAAUUCUAGAGCUAAUACAUGCAAACCGAGUUCCGACCGCUUUGCAGGCGGAAGGAAUGCUUUUAUUAGAUCAAAACCAAUCGGACUCCUCCGCGGGUCCGUCACGUCUUGGUGACUCUGAAUAACUUUGAGCUGAUCGCACGGUCCCGCACCGGCGACGCAUCUUUCAAAUGUCUGACUUAUCAACUUUCGAUGGUAGGCUCUGCGCCUACCAUGGUCGUAACGGGUAACGGGGAAUCAGGGUUCGAUUCCGGAAAGGGAGCCUGAGAAACGGCUACCACAUCCAAGGAAGGCAGCAGGCGCGCAAAUUACCCACUCCCGGCACGGGGAGGUAGUGACAAAAAAUAACGAUGCAGUACUCUUUCCGAGGCUCUGCA
This 492-nucleotide ribosomal RNA is filed under the name Craspedorrhynchus platystomus. RNAcentral describes it as "SSU rRNA". It matches the Rfam family "Eukaryotic small subunit ribosomal RNA", at positions 39 to 507 of the family's 1831-position model. The record is from RNAcentral. Lineage: Eukaryota; Metazoa; Arthropoda; Insecta; Psocodea; Philopteridae.